RNAcentral lists this ribosomal RNA (253 nucleotides) under uncultured bacterium. RNAcentral describes it as "partial 16S ribosomal RNA". It matches the Rfam family "Bacterial small subunit ribosomal RNA", at positions 524 to 776 of the family's 1533-position model. The record is from RNAcentral.
UACGUAGGGUGCGAGCGUUAAUCGGAAUUACUGGGCGUAAAGCGUGCGCAGGCGGUUCGUUGUGUCGGUGGUGAAAUCCCCGGGCUUAACCUGGGAAUGGCAUUUGGGACUGCAAGGCUUGAGUGCGGCAGAGGAGACUAGAAUUCCUGGUGUAGCAGUGAAAUGCGUAGAUAUCAGGAGGAAUACCGAUGGCGAAGGCAGGUCUCUGGGCUGACACUGACGCUCAUGCACGAAAGCGUGGGGAGCAAACAGG